GUAGGUGAACCUGCGGAAGGAUCAUUAGUGAAUUUUAGGGCGCUCUCACUUAACUGAGAGGCCUGACCUCCACUCUCCAACUCUGUGCACUAUUGGAAAUCAAAGGAAGAAGGGCUUGGUCGAAAGACUAGCUUUUCAGACCUCUUUUUCUAUCACUUUUUAAACAUGAGUCAAAGAAUGUAAACAAAACCAUAACAAAAAAAAACUUUCAACAACGGAUCUCUUGGCUCUC
RNAcentral lists this unclassified non-coding RNA (232 nucleotides) under rhizosphere metagenome. Its description in RNAcentral is "partial ribosomal RNA internal transcribed spacer region". The record is from RNAcentral.